UAGGGAAUCUUCGGCAAUGGACGAAAGUCUGACCGAGCAACGCCGCGUGAGUGAAGAAGGUUUUCGGAUCGUAAAACUCUGUUGUUAGAGAAGAACAAGGACGUUAGUAACUGAACGUCCCCUGACGGUAUCUAACCAGAAAGCCACGGCUCACUACGUGCCAGCAGCCGCGGUAAUACGUAGGUGGCAAGCGUUGUCCGGAUUUAUUGUGCGUAAAGCGAGCGCAGGCGGUUUCUUAAGUCUGAUGUGAAAGCCCCCGGCUCAACCGGGGAGGGUCUUUGGAAGCUGGGAGAAUUGAGUGCAGAAGGGGGGAGUGGAAUUCCAUGUGUAGCGGUGAAAUGCGUAGAUAUAUGGAGAAACACCAGUGGCGAAGGCGGCUCUCUGGUCUGUAACUGACGCUGAGGCUAGAAAGCGUGGGGAGCAAACAGG
This 429-nucleotide ribosomal RNA is filed under the name Gemmatimonadota bacterium. RNAcentral's name for it is "Gemmatimonadetes bacterium partial 16S ribosomal RNA". It matches the Rfam family "Bacterial small subunit ribosomal RNA", at positions 355 to 776 of the family's 1533-position model. Lineage: Bacteria; Pseudomonadati; Gemmatimonadota. The record is from RNAcentral.